RNAcentral lists this ribosomal RNA (445 nucleotides) under uncultured organism. RNAcentral describes it as "partial 16S ribosomal RNA". It matches the Rfam family "Bacterial small subunit ribosomal RNA", at positions 335 to 797 of the family's 1533-position model. The record is from RNAcentral.
ACUCCUGCGGGAGGCAGCAGUGGGGAAUAUUGGACAAUGGGCGCAAGCCUGAUCCAGCCAUGCCGCGUGAGUGAUGAAGGCCCUAGGGUUGUAAAGCUCUUUCACCGGUGAAGAUAAUGACGGUAACCGGAGAAGAAGCCCCGGCUAACUUCGUGCCAGCAGCCGCGGUAAUACGAAGGGGGCUAGCGUUGUUCGGAUUUACUUGGCGUAAAGCGCACGUAGGCGGACUAUUAAGUCAGGGGUGAAAUCCCGGGGCUCAACCCCGGAACUGCCUUUGAUACUGGUAGUCUUGAGUUCGAGAGAGGUGAGUGGAAUUCCGAGUGUAGAGGUGAAAUUCGUAGAUAUUCGGAGGAACACCAGUGGCGAAGGCGGCUCACUGGCUCGAUACUGACGCUGAGGUGCGAAAGCGUGGGGAGCAAACAGGAUUAGAUACCCCUGUAGUCCC